GAUGAAGAACGCAGCGAAAUGCGAUAAGUAAUGUGAAUUGCAGAAUUCAGUGAAUCAUCGAAUCUUUGAACGCACCUUGCACCCUUUGGACUGCUCCAAAGGGUAUGCUCGUUUGAGUGUCAUUGUACUCUCACACUCUCUGAUCCUUUGGAUUUGGGGAGCAGUGGACUUGGGUGCUUGCUGCUUCCUUGUGGCUCACCUGAAAUGCAUCAGUGCAUCUCUCGAUUGGACAUAGUACGGCGUGAUAAGUGUCUUCGCCGGCACCUCAUAUGAGGGUGGCCGAUCGGGAGCUCUGUGCUUUCAAACCGUCUUCGGACAACGCUGACAACUUGACCUCAAAUCGAGUAGGACUACCCGCUGAACUUAAGCAUAUCAAUAAGCGGAGA
This 386-nucleotide unclassified non-coding RNA is filed under the name soil metagenome. Its description in RNAcentral is "partial contains 5.8S ribosomal RNA, internal transcribed spacer 2, and large subunit ribosomal RNA". The stretch from base 1 to 122 matches the Rfam family "5.8S ribosomal RNA", at positions 35 to 154 of the family's 154-position model. The record is from RNAcentral.